UUUGCUGGCUUCUAUUUAUAUUAGCAGAACUAGAUAAUACUGGAAACCUCACAAUCAGAAGCUGAUGAACUUUUUUUCUUCUAAUUCCACACAGAAUGGAUUAAUCAUUGUCUUUCCCCCAAGGUUACCUUUUACCAAGACCCCUGAAGAAGAAACACUUCCAAAGGGUGUUGCUAUGAAAACAAAAGGUUUCUUCGUAAAUACAUUUGUGCUGCAUGAAGAAAGCAAGACAGCCUUGAAGUAUUUCCAGUGGAUUUUUCUGAUGAUUUCCAACAGACGGCGAUAGUUCUGCUGGGGGAGCUGACAAUGGAUAUGAGCUACGUGGCCCAGCAGAGGGCAGCAGGCUAACAGAAGAUGUUGCUGCCUGUAAUCAGGUAUCUGCUGCCGGCCGCUUUCUUCGGAGGAUAUUUGGUUUGCAUUUAUCACUGUCACACCCUGAGAUCCAGCCUC
Chrysemys picta bellii (western painted turtle) is the source of this 450-nucleotide non-coding RNA. The record is from RefSeq and is a predicted model, not a curated record. NCBI's taxonomy places the organism in Eukaryota, Metazoa, Chordata, Testudines, Emydidae.